This 604-nucleotide ribosomal RNA is filed under the name uncultured fungus. RNAcentral's name for it is "SSU rRNA". It matches the Rfam family "Eukaryotic small subunit ribosomal RNA", at positions 737 to 1343 of the family's 1831-position model. Lineage: Eukaryota; Fungi. The record is from RNAcentral.
GGGGAACCAGGACUUUUACUUUGAAAAAAUUAGAGUGCUCCAGGCAGGCCUAUGCUCGAAUACAUUAGCAUGGAAUAAUAGAAUAGGACGUGUGGUUCUAUUUUGUUGGUUUCUAGGACCGCCGUAAUGAUUAAUAGGGACAGUCGGGGGCAUCAGUAUUCAAUUGUCAGAGGUGAAAUUCUUGGAUCUAUUGAAGACUAACUACUGCGAAAGCAUUUGCCAAGGAUGUUUUCAUUGAUAAGGAACGAAAGUUAGGGGAUCGAAGACGAUCAGAUACCGUCAUAGUCUUAACUAUAAACUAUGCCGACUAGGGAUCGGACGAUGUUAUCUUUUGACGCGUUCGGCACCUUUCGAGAAAUCAAAGUGCUUGGGCUCCAGGGGGAGUAUGGUCGCAAGGCUGAAACUUAAAGAAAUUGACGGAAGGGCACCACCAGGGGUGGAACCUGCGGCUUAAUUUGACUCAACACGGGGAAACUCACCAGGUCCAGACACAGUGAGGAUUGACAGAUUGAGAGCUCUUUCUUGAUUCUGUGGGUGGUGGUGCAUGGCCGUUCUUAGUUGGUGGAGUGAUUUGUCUGCUUAAUUGCGAUAACGAACGAGACCU